Molecule: RNA transcript, 2378 nt
Organism: Andrographis paniculata
Lineage: Eukaryota; Viridiplantae; Streptophyta; Magnoliopsida; Lamiales; Acanthaceae
Exons: 3
Source: RefSeq, a predicted model, not a curated record
UAUGAAAUCAAAUACAACGAAGCGUAUAAAAAAGGAAAGAUGCUGCGAGGUCGGCGCUCCGCUCGUAGUCGGGUCGUGGCAUUCUCUGCCUCUGUCCGAAAGGGAAAAUAUCUGCGUUCUUUAUUGCUUGUUGCCAACGGUUCCGAUUCGGAUGCUAAUUUGGUGCGAAUUAAUUCUAUUAUUGAUGUUGCCCAACAAUUCAUCUUCUUGGAUUGUCAAGCAUUUGUCGUCGCCCGAAGAAUGAGAAUGAUUGUCGGUUGUUUUUUUGUGAGGCUGGCACUGUCAUCGGCACAUCGUGGGCCUUAUAAAAGGUGAUGUUAUGGCUGACUUCUGGGCUUCGUCUUGUUUGCCAGUCCAUUUCCAAGAAUGAUUAUUGAUUAAUGCCUGCCUGAGAGUGGAUUGAGAACCCUUCUUGUUCCGCUUCCGUAAAUUCGAGUUUCUGCUGGCCAAUCUGAAGAAAAUUCGCGAAGAAGAAGAAGGGAAAUUCUUUGAAAAAGUGACAAAGAAGUUAAACCUAUCUGUCAUGCGGAAACGAAAAUGGGAUUUCUAUUGUCCAACCAAUUCAUCAUCUCUAUUACUGCUGAAUGUAGGAGGAGGGGCUGAGUGCAGGCCCACGCGGUGAGUCGAGGUUUUUGCCCUUAUGAACAGAUUUUUGACACCAUGCUUCAUGAGCUUCGUCACAACGAAUUUGAUCUUCAAAGUACUGAUUUUUACAACCUUAACAUAUUGAUGAAUUACGAUGUGAUAGAUAAUCAAUCAUGGUUUCAAGCAUCAAAGCGGGAUUCAAACUGCAUCUUUAUUUUUAAACCUUAAUGUUGUCAGUUAGUGGCAUGAAAAUGUUCAAUAUGACUGUCAGCAUUUGCCCAUAUUGUGAAAACAGCAACUGUUUCUUUCUGGGGCUUGCAUGGGCAAGGGCGGAAGAGGCAUUCGCUUAAGGCCUGCUGCAAAUAAAGGGCUCAUGUACAUAUAUUAUACAUGUGUGUAUGAAUAUAAUAAUAGUGUAAUUAUGAAUCUUUUAAUAUUGUUAGUAAGAACAAACUCAGGUCCUACAUAGUAAAAAUAAAGAAAAAAAUCUUUGGUUAUAAGUUGGCACCUAUAUUCCCACAGUAUGAGGCCUUCUGGGUAAGUUAAAAAAAUUAAGAGAUUUGUGUCUUGCCUUUUCUCGUUUGCAUUGAGUAGGGUUCUCCAAAUUUUGGCCGUGAAGACCUCUCUAUGGUGAGAGAAUUGAGAGAAGGUUUUUUCUUAGGAUAUUUAUAUAUCUCUGAGAAGUUUUUCUGUGCUUUUCAAGUUUAAAUGAGUGUUGGUGAAACGAUCCAUCCAGCCCUGGGACAAUCAUAGGUUAGUAUGCCUAUUUUUAAUUAGACAAUAGCUUUGCAUUGUUGUUGUGGUUCUUCCGAAACAAUAUCAGUUUCAGUGCAUUAGGUAUUAGCUAAGGUUUUGGGCAGAUGUUUGUAGUGUUUUUGUAUACUUGGUGAAGUUACAAUGAAUAUGGUUGAAUUGAGAUUCUCUAAAUAUGGGUCAUAGAUUGAGCUGGAAAAAUAAGUUUCUCAUUUUGUAUUUUCAUUCUCUGUUCGUAUUAUUGUUGUUACAAAAAUUAUUUAUGCCAUAAAUUUUCCUUUUUGUCUAUCAACGGUUGAAUUGUUCCACUGGUUGCUCCCAACAACAUAGCAAUGAGGUCAGUUGGGUGUCAAUAUAUUUGCACAUACUAUAAUAAUGUUAUUGAAAGAAAAGAGAAUGGAAUUCUCUUCUCCCUUAUGAGGAACUCAUAUCUCUUUUUUAUACUUGACCUUUUAUGGAUGCUUUUGCUCAUAACUUAAGUUUCAUUCUUCAUCCUACACAGAUGGAUAUUACGUUGCAGCUGUUCACUUGUAGGCGAUACAACUAGAAUGUAAAAUGGAAGUACUAGAAAUCAAAAUGAACACACACACACACGAAAGAUGAGAGUUUGGUGACUGGUUCAGCUUUGGCCUCGUAACAUAAUAUAAUGAAGCCGACGAUGAGCUCUGACAUAGAUCCAUCUUGUAUAGAGGAUUGGUUUUGUUUGGAAAUGGAAGCUAUCAUGUCAGCUAGUUUGGAGGACCAUUCAAUCUUUGUUACUUCACUUUGUUGCUCUGUAGAAUAGGAGUUGAAGGACAUUCCAAUAUUGAAAGCAAGCUAUAAGCUGCUGCAGCUAUGCAGAGACAAGUGAUCAAUGACUGAUGAGCAAAUGUGUUUUCUUGCCUUGUUUGUGCCUUUUCACACUAUUCAUUUAUUUGUUUGUUUAUCUACAGUUGCUUGCUGUCUAUCAGUGCUUGUAGUCUGUGUGUAUGUGUUGGUGGCCUUGUAAUUGCACCAGUGCUGCAAAAUGGCUUUUCAAACUGGAAUGUUCUGUUUUUAGA